This 382-nucleotide ribosomal RNA is filed under the name uncultured bacterium. Its description in RNAcentral is "bacterial SSU rRNA". It matches the Rfam family "Bacterial small subunit ribosomal RNA", at positions 29 to 412 of the family's 1533-position model. The record is from RNAcentral.
AUUGAACGCUGGCGGCAUGCCUUACACAUGCAAGUCGAACGGCAGCACGGGAGCAAUCCUGGUGGCGAGUGGCGAACGGGUGAGUAAUAUAUCGGAACGUGCCCGGUCGUGGGGAUAACGUAGCGAAAGCUACGCUAAUACCGCAUACGAUCUACGGAUGAAAGCGGGGGGAUCGCAAGACCUCGCGCGAUUGGAGCGGCCGAUAUCAGAUUAGGUAGUUGGUGAGGUAAAGGCUCACCAAGCCGACGAUCUGUAGCUGGUCUGAGAGGACGACCAGCCACACUGGGACUGAGACACGGCCCAGACUCCUACGGGAGGCAGCAGUGGGGAAUUUUGGACAAUGGGCGGCAAGCCUGAUCCAGCAAUGCGCGUGCAGGAUGAA